RNAcentral lists this transfer RNA (70 nucleotides) under Rhinoceros sondaicus (Javan rhinoceros). RNAcentral's name for it is "tRNA-Phe". It matches the Rfam family "tRNA". From Rfam's summary of the family: Transfer RNA (tRNA) molecules are approximately 80 nucleotides in length. Their secondary structure includes four short double-helical elements and three loops (D, anti-codon, and T loops). Further hydrogen bonds mediate the characteristic L-shaped molecular structure. tRNAs have two regions of fundamental functional importance: the anti-codon, which is responsible for specific mRNA codon recognition, and the 3' end, to which the tRNAs corresponding amino acid is attached (by aminoacyl-tRNA synthetases). tRNAs cope with the degeneracy of the genetic code in two manners: having more than one tRNA (with a specific anti-codon) for a particular amino acid; and 'wobble' base-pairing, i.e. permitting non-standard base-pairing at the 3rd anti-codon position. Lineage: Eukaryota; Metazoa; Chordata; Mammalia; Perissodactyla; Rhinocerotidae. The record is from RNAcentral.
GGUUAAUGUAGCUUAAUAAUUAAAGCAAGGCAUUGAAAAUGCCUAGAUGAGAUCACCAACUCCAUAAACA